RNAcentral lists this ribosomal RNA (468 nucleotides) under uncultured bacterium. RNAcentral's name for it is "partial 16S ribosomal RNA". It matches the Rfam family "Bacterial small subunit ribosomal RNA", at positions 28 to 507 of the family's 1533-position model. The record is from RNAcentral.
GACGAACGCUGGCGGCGUGCUUAACACAUGCAAGUCGAACGGAAAGGCCCUGCUUUUGUGGGGUGCUCGAGUGGCGAGCGGGUGAGUAACACGUGAGUAACCUGCCCUUGACUUUGGGAUAACUUCAGGAAACUGGGGCUAAUACCGGAUUGGAGCUCCUGCUGCAUGGUGGGGGUUGGAAAGUUUCGGCGGUUGGGGAUGGACUCGCGGCUUAUCAGCUUGUUGGUGGGGUAGUGGCUUACCAAGGCUUUGACGGGUAGCCGGCCUGAGAGGGUGACCGGCCACAUUGGGACUGAGAUACGGCCCAGACUCCUACGGGAGGCAGCAGUGGGGAAUAUUGCACAAUGGGCGGAAGCCUGAUGCAGCAACGCCGCGUGCGGGAUGACGGCCUUCGGGUUGUAAACCGCUUUCGCCUGUGACGAAGCGUGAGUGACGGUAAUGGGUAAAGAAGCACCGGCUAACUACGUG